Molecule: long non-coding RNA, 854 nt
Organism: Mya arenaria
Lineage: Eukaryota; Metazoa; Mollusca; Bivalvia; Myida; Myidae
Exons: 3
Source: RefSeq, a predicted model, not a curated record
GUGGAUUUGGCAGCCUUCAAAGAGCGAAAGUCACAAGCGAAUGCUGCAACAUCCAUUGUAAAAUACUUGGCAGAAUAUGGUGGGAGUGACACAGUGGACACGUUUUCCCGGAUAAUGAAGACGGUGUUGACAACAAAUCUGGCCCGCCAAUACAACCUAAAGGAAACCAAACAAAAAAAGAAACUGGACAGACUCCACUUGAUAAACAUCUUUUUCAGAUGUCAAUAAUUGAACCCAGCAACACACUUUAGAACCGCAAGGAAAUGGAGGGGGCCAUAUAGAAGUGGCUUUCCGAGUCGCGGAGUCGUGAGGUUGGCCGCAAAGACCGAGCAAGAGUCACUCCGAUGCUUCCGGAGUAGAAUGUUGACUUAUUUACUUACCAUAAAAUUUACGAUUCCACGAACCACGAACAUACGGAUUUACGACUCAGAAUUAAACCAGCAAAACUUGUCAGACUAUUUUUCAAAUUGAUAAUAUACAAUAUGUAUGCUUCUAUUGUUUUAUCAUAAACACAUCAAUGUCGUGUGACAUGUUAUGUAGUUUGUAUGCAAAAUGUAUCACAAUAAUGUAAUAAUGAGAUAUCUCCAACUUUUCCCCUAAAUUUUCAUAUCAUUAAGGGCUUCAAGAAGGGCAUUUCUUAUCUAUAUUUAUAGGCAAAUCCAUGUUGCUUUUACUUUUUUGUAUAAACAUAAGACAAACUGUCCAUGACUAAUAAGAGACCCAUCAACAAGACAAAUAUGUUUAGUUCACAUUUGGAUGAUUGUUCUAAAGAAGACUCUUAAUAAGCGAAACCUGUUGACAUUGAAUAAUUAUCAUAAUAUCUCAGAAUGAUGUCGGUUUUUGUUUUACUAUAA